AACGCUAGCUACAGGCUUAACACAUGCAAGUCGAGGGGCAGCAUUAUCGAAGCUUGCUUUGAUAGAUGGCGACCGGCGCACGGGUGAGUAACGCGUAUCCAACCUUCCCCGUAGUCAGGAAUAGCCCGGCGAAAGUCGAAUUAAUGCCUGAUGUUUUCCACGGACGGCAUCUGAUGUGGAACAAAGAUUCAUCGCUAUGGGAUGGGGAUGCGUCUGAUUAGCUUGUUGGCGGGGUAACGGCCCACCAAGGCAACGAUCAGUAGGGGUUCUGAGAGGAAGGUCCCCCACAUUGGAACUGAGACACGGUCCAAACUCCUACGGGAGGCAGCAGUGAGGAAUAUUGGUCAAUGGGCGGAAGCCUGAACCAGCCAAGUAGCGUGAGGGAUGACUGCCCUAUGGGUUGUAAACCUCUUUUAUAAGGGAAUAAAAUACGGGACGUGUCCUGUUUUGCAUGUACCUUAUGAAUAAGGACCGGCUAAUUCCGUGCCAGCAGCCGCGGUAAUACGGAAGGUCCGGGCGUUAUCCGGAUUUAUUGGGUUUAAAGGGAGCGUAGGCCGGAGAUUAAGCGUGUUGUGAAAUGUAGACGCUCAACGUCUGCACUGCAGCGCGAACUGGUUUCCUUGAGUACGCACAAAGUGGGCGGAAUUCGUGGUGUAGCGGUGAAAUGCUUAGAUAUCACGAAGAACUCCGAUUG
This 694-nucleotide ribosomal RNA is filed under the name uncultured bacterium. Its description in RNAcentral is "bacterial SSU rRNA". It matches the Rfam family "Bacterial small subunit ribosomal RNA", at positions 32 to 715 of the family's 1533-position model. The record is from RNAcentral.